Molecule: long non-coding RNA, 527 nt
Organism: Mercurialis annua (annual mercury)
Lineage: Eukaryota; Viridiplantae; Streptophyta; Magnoliopsida; Malpighiales; Euphorbiaceae
Exons: 2
Source: RefSeq, a predicted model, not a curated record
AAUUCUAAACCCUAAUGUCUCUCCUAUAUUCAGUUUCUUCACGCCGCCCCUCCAAUAUUCAGUUUCUUCUUCAAUUUCUUCAAGCCAAUAACGCUUCACGCCGGUGACUCUUCACGUCACCACAACGGUCUGCUCUUUGUUGCCUCUGCUCCUUCAACGAUCUGGUCUUCGUCGUCUCUGCCCCUUCAACAACCUGCUCUUCGGCCGCCUCUUUUGUUCGUGUCGAUCUGCUUCUACUCGGCAAUUCUGGUGUUCGUCAUCCCCUACUCCAUCACCGACCACAUCUGCUUCCCGGAGAAUGUCGAAUAUAAAUGAGGGUGUCAUUCAAAUUCAAUUGACUCAAGACUCACAAACAAGUCCAGUUUUGGAUAAUAUUGCUGAAAAUGAAAUGUUGAAAAAGAAGAAAAUGCAUCUAUGUUGCUUAUGUAUUUUGUAAUUUAUGUUUAGAUAAUUUGUUGUUGGAUUUAUCAGUUGUACUUUAAAUUUUAUUAUGUGUUUGAAAAAAAAUCAUUAUUAGGUAAAACUAA